Molecule: ribosomal RNA, 497 nt
Filed under: uncultured bacterium
Lineage: Bacteria
Description: partial 16S ribosomal RNA
Rfam family: Bacterial small subunit ribosomal RNA
Source: RNAcentral
GACGAACGCUGGCGGCGUGCCUAAUACAUGCAAGUAGAACGCUGAAGAGAGGAGCUUGCUCUUCUUGGAUGAGUUGCGAACGGGUGAGUAACGCGUAGGUAACCUGCCUUGUAGCGGGGGAUAACUAUUGGAAACGAUAGCUAAUACCGCAUAACAAUGGAUGACACAUGUCAUUUAUUUGAAAGGUGCAAUUGCUCCACUACAAGAUGGACCUGCGUUGUAUUAGCUAGUAGGUGAGGUGAUGGCUCACCUAGGCGACGAUACAUAGCCGACCUGAGAGGGUGAUCGGACACACUGUGAGUGAGACACGGCCCAGACUCCUACGGGAGGAAGCAGUAGAGAAUCUUCGGCAAUGGGGGCGACCCUGACUGAGCAACGCCGCGAGAGUGAAGAAGGUUUUCGGAUCGUAAAGCUCUGUUGUAAGUCAAGAACGGGUGUGAGAGUGGAAAGUUCACACUGUGACGGUAGCUUACCAGAAAGGGACGGCUAACUACGUG